UACGUAGGGUGCGAGCGUUGUCCGGAAUUAUUGGGCGUAAAGGGCUCGUAGGCGGUUUGUCGCGUCGGGAGUGAAAACCUCGGGCUUAACUCGGGGCUUGCUUUCGAUACGGGCAGACUGGAGGUAUGCAGGGGAGAACGGAAUUCCUGGUGUAGCGGUGAAAUGCGCAGAUAUCAGGAGGAACACCGGUGGCGAAGGCGGUUCUCUGGGCAUGACCUGACGCUGAGGAGCGAAAGCGUGGGUAGCAAACAGG
This 253-nucleotide ribosomal RNA is filed under the name uncultured bacterium. Its description in RNAcentral is "partial 16S ribosomal RNA". It matches the Rfam family "Bacterial small subunit ribosomal RNA", at positions 524 to 776 of the family's 1533-position model. The record is from RNAcentral.